This 249-nucleotide ribosomal RNA is filed under the name uncultured soil bacterium. Its description in RNAcentral is "partial 16S ribosomal RNA". It matches the Rfam family "Bacterial small subunit ribosomal RNA", at positions 26 to 276 of the family's 1533-position model. The record is from RNAcentral.
AGAUUGAACGCUGGCGGCAGGCCUAACACAUGCAAGUCGAGCGGUAGAGAGGUGCUUGCAUCUCUUGAGAGCGGCGGACGGGUGAGUAAUGCCUAGGAAUCUGCCUAGUGGUGGGGGAUAACGUUCGGAAACGGACGCUAAUACCGCAUACGUCCUACGGGAGAAAGCGGGGGACCUUCGGGCCUCGCGCCAUUAGAUGAGCCUAGGUCGGAUUAGCUAGGUUGGUGAGGUAAUGGCUCACCAAGGCAC